This is a long non-coding RNA of Homo sapiens (human), 4983 nucleotides long. RefSeq lists it as uncharacterized. Lineage: Eukaryota; Metazoa; Chordata; Mammalia; Primates; Hominidae. The transcript is spliced from 3 exons. The record is from RefSeq and is a predicted model, not a curated record.
CAGUCAACGGAGGGCAGUAAGCAAAUUAGUGAUAGAAUCAGACUUGUGUUUUGAAAAGCUCAUCCUGGCUGCUGUGCUUAGAAUAGACUGUGUUGUAGAAAAUACAAACAGGGAAGACCCCAUAGAAAGCUGACGCCAUAUUCUAGGUGAGAAACUAUGGAAAUUUGGACCAAGGUGAUAGAAGGGGAGGUGGUAAGAAACAGUCACAUUCUGUAUACAUUUUAAAAAUAGAACAAAGGAUUGGCUGAAGGAUUGGAUAUGAGAUGGGAAAGAAAGAGAGAGUUCAAGGAAAAUUGCAAAGUCUCUGGUUAUCAUGAGGAGUAUGUGAGAUCCCACAUAUAAAGUAUCAAACAUAAUGCCUAGGACAGAGUGAAUGCUAAAAAAGGGAUAUUCUGGUAUACAUUUCAGUGUGUACAUCUUAACUUAUUCACCCAAUAAUGGCUAUGAAUUCUAUCUAUAUAAUCAGUUUCUGUUCAGGAACAUGAAUGUAAAUUGCAAAGUAGUUUAUACAUUAAAUUCUCAUAGUAGGAAUUCAAUAAAGAUUUGAGAGAAGACGUUUACACUUGGUACCCGUCAAUAUUGGGCAACCACCAACUAUAUUUGGUACUUAACGAGCCUUUAUAGAAGUUCCCAAAAUGUAAAAAUGAAGAGAACUAGAAAGAUUAAGAUAGAAGAGUUUAAAAAAUAUAUGUUCAUGCAGGAGAAAAGUGAAGGCUUUUCAAGGUUACUAAGGUAAGUCUAAGGCAACGAUUCCUAGAGCAAAUCAAGGGGCUGUGAAAGCUAAUGGACAUAGCUCAAGAUUUACUUUUGGGUUUGGAGAAACUAACAUUGAAUUGGCUAUUUCCAAUAAUAAAGUCAUUAGCCCAGGGAAGGAAGAUGAAAUAUAAAAGGAACGUUUAGGUACAGAAAAGUAUAUUUUAAAUUAUCUUUUGGUUGAGAAAAUAUUUCAGAUAAAUGCUGAUGAAAUAAAUCAGCAUUUUAUUUCAGUUUUUUAAUGGUUUUAUAAUAACAGUGAAGGGAUUUAUUCUCUGCCUGUUUACUAUGUUCACAUGGAGAUCUUAAAUGUUUGCCAGAUAUAGUGGAUAGAUUAAAAGAGCCACCUUGGUAAGAACUGAACUAUUUUGUUAUAUUACUGUUUUUAUAAAUGCUGUUAUAUUGCUCUGUAACACACAUUCAUGUAAAGUAUUUGUUUAUAUUUUUAAAAGUAUAUAUAAUGUCUGAGUAUGCAUUUCAGUAUUUCACAGAAACAAAUUAGAAAAGUCACUAAUUUUUGAAAACACUGAAGAACUGAGAGAGCAGAAAUCACUAAAUAAGGAUAUUGUCUGCAGUGAUUAAAAUGGUGGCUAACAGGGAUCUCCAACUGUUGCACCUUUCUUCAAAGAUACGGGCUUCUACAAGGUUUUCAUCAUAGCUACUACAACAGGAGGUCCAGUAGCUCUGGGCUCAAUGCCAAAGCAACCAGAUCCAUGGAGUCUCUGGCCUCUACGUGGCUAACCAGAAGGCUUGGCAAAUUCAGGCUGGAAAUACAGAACAUGUAAUAGUUUGUCGGACAACUUUUAACCCAAUAUGGACAAGAUAUGGGAAGAAGCACACAAUCUUUUCUAGGACACAUCAUUUUAAGGGAAGAUGGGAGAGAUAUGAAGAAGCAGCUGUGGAGAUGCAACGCUGGACAUGAAAUGGGUGUGGAAGACAACGGAAAGCCAGUUGGUCAAGACCCUUGGGAAGAAAAGAAUCUUUAAAAGGUCUCUGUUAGCGUGGGACUAAAUUGUAAUCAGACAUUGUGAAUAAGAUGAAAUACUAAAGAAAGAAAGAAAGAAAAAUAUAGGGCACAUACAGAACUGAUCAAGAAGGGAUUAUCAAGAGACAAUUACUCAACUACCCAUUUGCAAGUGAGCAUAUUCUCACCCAACACUGUUUUCAGUUAUGAUUGAAUGGAAGCUCUAAUUGAAUAGUUCUUUGUGGUGUUCAAAGUCCAAGACAGCAAGUUGUUCUUUUGUAUGGGUUCAUAAGUUUUCCCAGAAUGAACUGUAAAACACUCAUGAUUUCCCUGAACUGUGGCAAAGUGACUUACCCAGUUUCUGGCAAAUUUAUUAAGCAAUACAGACUCCCUGCUUAAUCCAUUGGUUUAAACAAUAUUCAGUUAACACAAAUUAGUGAAUAAGCAGAGACAUAGGUCAGCUGAUCGAAGAAAGAUGUAAAAGUAAAUUAAAAUAAAAUUUAUUUGAAAACAGCAAUGGGUCAGAGCUAAAGCCCAGUACAAGUUAGAACAAAUAAAAACCCAUUAAUCUGAAAAACCUUCUUGGGUUUACAAGAAGGCUUUUCUGAUCUCAGGCUGUAUUUAUCCUCUAGAUGGAAAAAAAAGAGGAGCAAUAAAUCUCUUCAUAUCAAAGGCCUGUUCAGCAGAAAUGAAUUGAAAGUGUUGGGUCAAUUAGACUGAACUAGAUCUCCCCCAGGCAAACCUACUAUCGAUACAUAUUUAGCUUCCAGACACCUUUAAAGGCAGCCUGGGAAAGGCUGGCUAGCAAAGAAAAAAAAAGAUAAUUCUAAAAUUUGAGUUCCCUUUGAACUCCAUCCACUACAGCAAUAAAAAGAGCUGUUUCUGCUCUAUUGCAUUUUGUUGAAACAAAAAAAAAAUAGACUGGAGAAAUGAAUAAGCUCGGCAUAUUAUGUAGAUAAAAUGGUAUUAUGGCAAGAGAAUGAAGAACAAAGAGCUAAGAACCAGAUUCCUGUCGCAGCUCUGCUCUCAUAGCUGUGUGACUUCUGGUCAGUCCUUAGACUUUGAAAUCUAUAGGCUACAUGUCUGGAAAUAAGAGGAUAACAGAUUAUUCUUAAGUUUCUCUGUGAUUCAAAAAUAUCUAUGAAUCUAAAGGAAGGAAGACAGUUAUGUGGAUUGGUUAUUGGAAAAGAAUCUAAAGUAAUUGUUUCAUGUAUGCAUAAAAGGGAAGAUCCAGCUAUAAAUUGUCAAGAUAUCUUCAAAAACACCUUUUAUUAUUGAAAGCUACAAAGAGGACAAAUAGUCAAAUAAAUUUUUGUAGGAACACUCAUAAAUAAUAUUUACUAGUAUCUAGUGAGCAUUUACUAUUUGAAUUACUUUUGUAGAAAGUCUUAUUUAGUCCAAUACAAUCCUUUGAGAUAGAUGCCGUUUUAUAUAAAUUUUAUACAUAAGUCAACUGAGAUACCAUUAUAGACUCAGAAUGUUCUAAGAGGCAAACCAGGAUUUAGUCUCGUACUGUUCAAACUCUACUAAUCACUGUGUAAUUAUAAGCACUCUUCUAGAUCACCAUUUGUAGAUGGCAUAGUAAAGUAAAGACAUCUUCAGCUUGUGCUUCAAGCCAGAACAUACACUGUCACAUUUAAAACUCCAGUGUCUCUGUGAUGGGCUUAUUUGUAUUAUUCCUCUUCCUUUGGUCUAAGUGAAAAUACUUUUUCUUAAUUUCCUGAGACAAUCUGAGAAAAUGAAUCUAGUGAAAAUGCUAGAGUAACUCAUUGGAUUUGAGCGCUCCAACCAUUGAAAUACUAUGGUAUCAACUGGACUAAGAAUCAGAGGACCUCUAUUCAAGGCCUUUCUUUACUAAUUGUGAGUGGGACCUCGAGCAAAUUUCUCACCACUCUAAACAUCAGUUUCCCAACUAUAAAACAGAACUUUUCUCGCUAAUAUUACAAUGUUAAAGAGGUAAAAUAGAAAAAAGAAGGACUUUGGAUCUAGAGGAGCCUAGAUGGGAAUUUUGUGAGGAGUCAUGUGACCUUGUACAAAUUACUCAAACGUUUCUGAGUCUCAUGUUCUUUGUCUGAGUAAUGGUGAUGAUAAUAGUGAUAUGGACAGUAGGCAGCGAAAUACUGGGCAGAAGAGAGCAGUGCCCCAGCAAAGGCCCCACCCUCAAGCCUGGAAACCCGCAGCCCUAAAUGGGAACAAGCAUUCCUGUUUUCAUGCCCAAAUGUUGUCUUUUGGCCCACCAUGUCCCCCACUAUCUUGUACCCAUAUAAACUCCAAACCUCAGGCUCCACGAGCAGAGGAACAGCAGAGCGGCAGAGCAGCAGGGCAGCACAGCAGUGCAGCAGAGAAGGAGAGAAAAGGAGUAUAUGAACGUUAGGAGGAGUUCGGCUGGGGAUGGUCAGAGAGGAGACUGGCCACAGGAUGGCCGAACUCCAGGGGAAGAUCAUCUUCCCACUAAAUCCCCUUUCCAGCUCCCCAUCCAUCCCACUGAGAGCCACCUCCACCACUCAAUAAAAUCCCUGCAUUCACCAUCCUUUAAUUCCGAGUGACCUGAUUCUUCCUGGGUACUGAAAAAGGGGCCAGGUACCAAGAAGGCAGGGUGUAAAAGACUGUGACCCUGACUCUCCACUGAGCUUGUUUAACACUUAGCCACCCACGGACAGCAACUGCUAAAAGAGUAUUAAUUGUAACACACCUCUAGAUGCUUCCGUGGGGCCAGAGCCCAAAAGCACUUGCCCUGGCUCCUGCACCUGCCCAUCUGUGUGCUUCCCCUCUUGUAAGGGAUUUGAGCACCCAGCAGCCAAAUAAACAAGCCACACCCCUAUGAGGGGGUCAGGGAACUCACCCAUUUAAAUAGUAACAACUUCACAAGGCUAAAGUAUAGAUUAAAUUAGAGAACUUUCCUCAAAUGUAGUAGUUUAACCCACAAUAAUGGAAAACAAAUAACUAGAAGAGACUCUGAACAUUGGUGAACCAUUCUGUUUUAAAUAUAAUGUAUACCCACAAAUUGUCUUUUGGGCAUGUAUGUUUUCUUGUAUAUUUGUUCGUUUAUCUCCAGCAAUAGAGAUGAAUUUGUGCUGAGACACUAAUUUUCUUUCUCCUUACCUUCUUUUCUCUUCUCCUUUUCUUUUGUGUGGCAAAAAUAAUGCAUUAUUUUAAAAAAUACUGCUGGCAAGUGUCCUUCCCAGUCCACAUGGGGGCUAACCCCUCCUCAACCUUACUAAAAGGGUGGGCUCCAAAAACUAAUUAGUCGUGUACAGUAAAAAUAA